CAGUAGCCACGGUAAUACGUAGGUGGCAAGCGCUGUCCGGAAUUAUCGGGCGUAAAGGGCUCGCAGGCGGUUUCUUAAGUCUGAUGUGAAAGCCCCCGGCUCAACCGGGGAGGGUCAUUGGAAACUGGGAAACUUGAGUGCAGAAGAGGAGAGUGGAAUUCCACGUGUAGCGGUGAAAUGCGUAGAGAUGUGGAGGAACACCAGUGGCGAAGGCGACUCUCUGGUCUGUAACUGACGCUGAGGAGCGAAAGCGUGGGGAGCGAACAGGAUUAGAUACCCCUGUAGUCCCGUCUCUUAUACC
RNAcentral lists this ribosomal RNA (301 nucleotides) under uncultured bacterium. Its description in RNAcentral is "partial 16S ribosomal RNA". It matches the Rfam family "Bacterial small subunit ribosomal RNA", at positions 509 to 808 of the family's 1533-position model. The record is from RNAcentral.